GAGUUUGAUCCUGGCUCAGGAUGAACGCUAGCGGCAGGCUUAAUACAUGCAAGUCAAGGGGGUAGCAAUACAACCGGCGCACGGGUGAGUAACGCGUACACAACAUACCAUAUACUGGGGUAUAGCUUUGGGAAACUGAAGGUAAUCCCCCAUAACAUUGCGAGAGGGCAUCUGAUUGCAAUUAAAGUUUCGGCGGUAUAUGAUUGGUGUGCGUUUGAUUAGCUAGUUGGUAGGGUAACGGCCUACCAAGGCGACGAUCAAUAGCUGGCGUGAGAGCGCGACCAGCCACACUGGAACUGAGACACGGUCCAGACUCCUACGGGAGGCAGCAGUAGGGAAUAUUGGACAAUGGAGGAAACUCUGAUCCAGACAUGCCGCGUGAUAGAUGAAGGCCCUCUGGGUUGUAAACAUCUUUUAUCUGGGAAGAAACAAUCUUAUUCUUAAGAUCUUGACGGUACCAGAGGAAUAAGCACCGGCUAACUCCGUGCCAGCAGCCGCGGUAAUACGGAGG
RNAcentral lists this ribosomal RNA (511 nucleotides) under uncultured bacterium. RNAcentral's name for it is "bacterial SSU rRNA". It matches the Rfam family "Bacterial small subunit ribosomal RNA", at positions 9 to 531 of the family's 1533-position model. The record is from RNAcentral.